UUCCUUUGAAGGUUGUUGGUUUGUUCCUAAAAAAACUUGUCCAAUCCACAGGAUUCAACAUCUUUAACUUGUGUAUUCUACUGAGCUUGCACCACUUGAUCCAAGGUUGUCAAUGCAUCACCAAUAGCAUGAUCAUUUCUCUGAACCAUUCCUCUGAACAUCAACAAACAGCUGUUAGAACAAACAUUAUAUCGACAACAUUCAUACACAUAUCGUACACUAGGAAUAAUUAAAAUCACAAAAACCUGGACGGACGGACCGAUCUGCUCUGAUACCACUAUGAAAAACCCUAAACCCCGAAACUUAUGUAUUAAGAAUUAUACGAUAAUUUAAGGUGUCACCAAUGACAAACCUCGAAAAUUAUUCAAUAAUUAAUAAACAUGUAGCGGAAUAUACUAACUUCAUACAACACAUGUCAUCGCUCGCUCACCUUCACUUAGGGUAUCAUUGUGGCGGUAUCAUUCUAAUUAGAUAAAUAAACUUAACCUCAACAUUUAGUCUUAAAAACUCAUUUAAAUAAAACUUUGUCAAAAACAAGAGUUAUUAAACUCAACUCUUAAACACUUCAACAUAAGCCAAUAAACUAUUAAACUUUAACAAAAUAAUCAAAUAAAACAUUCUCGGCCCCAAUGUUACAAGAUCAGAGCAAGACUUCUAAAAGAACGAAACUAAAGAAGUAACUCAUUUAGCUAACUUCACUUACUGCUGAGUAUUUAGAAGAUGUCCAUGGUGGAUAACACUCAAGCAAAGGGGGUGAGAAAUACAUUCAAAUGAUAAAUGACGCAUAAAUAAUCAGAGUAGAUUAAAUAUAAUACAGUUCAAACAUAAUGCACUAUACACCGCAUCAUAUGUAUUCAAGUUUCAUCCACUUCACAAUAAUACACAAUCAAUAUGCAAUGUGACUCUCAACAACAUUAUAGACUCAUAUGCAUGCGGUACCGUUUUCAAUAAUGGUUCCAAUUAUGAACCAGGUUUUAAUCAACUGCGAAGCCAUGAGCCCCACACCGAGCUCCAAGCCUCAACAUAAAUCUUGAGAAAAUUACUGGUCACCAACAUCGAAACCUGUAGUUGCCUCUUUAAUAACAACAAUAACUCAUGAUGCAUGAAUGAAUGUAUGCAUCAUCACAAUAACUCAACAACACAAACGAUAUCACACCAACCGCAUAAUUUCCUGUACAACAUCAACAGUAUAGUUUCACAUUGAAACCAUGUAUCUCAACUUAACAUAUCAUCAAAACACAACAAUCAAACAACCUACAAUUAUAUUAUCAAUUUACCACAUCAAUUUAUCAACAACGAAAACUCAACGUUUUGCUAAACGGUUAUUCUCAUGAUCAUGAAAACCACAACAACAGAACCUAUAUAAUCUUAAUUUUGCCAUCUCAACUCUCACCAUCACUGUGUAGUUAAGCUUGUUGGCUUUCCAAAAUUUUAAACGACGUCUAAAUCGGGCUUACGGAAUGAAAGUUAUGACCAAAAUCAUCAGGAUAUGUCAACUAAUUCGAAAAUAGAUUUUUCUCAAAAUUAUAUUGUACAAUCGAUUGUCACUGAAAGAUUUUCCAAAAUUUUACAUUGUGCAAUCGAUUGUAAUCAAGGUGCAAUCAAUUGCACUGAGGGAUUUUUCCAAAAAUUACACUAGUGCAAUCGAUUGCAAUCUGGGUGCAAUCGAUUGCAAAAUUUUACAUUGUGCAAUCAAGGUGCAAUCAAUUGCUCUGGAGGAUUUUUCCAAAAAUUACACUAGUGCAAUCGAUUGCAAUCUGGGUGCAAUCGAUUGCAGCUGAAGGAUUUUCUAAAAUAAAAAAAAAUUCUUUGUUACGAUUGCAGUACCCAUUCCAACCUUUCAAACCUCAUACCAAUUCCAAAUUAAUCCACCAAAAACUCUCAAAAUCGUAUUUUAACAUCACCGAUGGAUCAAACAUAAUUAAAUUAAUCCAACUACAGUUUUUCCUCAUGAUUCCAUCACUCAAAAUUAUACCUUAAAACACCAAAUUUUCAUCAAAAAUCAAGAACACACCAAUGUAACAAUAGUACACCAUUGCAGUUCAAUUCAAUCAUGUGAAGACAUAAUUAUCUACAUACAAUUCAUCAACAAUCAAUCAAUAUUUAAUAACAUCCAUCAAAAUUCAUCAAAAUUCAUCAAAAUAUCAAUUUAAGAGCAAACCCUAUUGGAGGUUAAGAAAACAUCUCUAUCUUUUCAUGAUUUAGCACCCAUAGAUGAAUAGUUUCCCCUACCUUAGAUUUCAGAAUUUUCCAGCAAAAUCAAGGUGAAUUGGUGUUCUUCCCUCAAGUCAUGGUACUCCUCUUCAAGUUU
This 2311-nucleotide long non-coding RNA is filed under the name Lathyrus oleraceus (garden pea). Its description in RNAcentral is "Pisum sativum (pea) long non-coding RNA (PSAT_LNC042025)". The record is from RNAcentral. Lineage: Eukaryota; Viridiplantae; Streptophyta; Magnoliopsida; Fabales; Fabaceae.